This 528-nucleotide ribosomal RNA is filed under the name uncultured bacterium. RNAcentral's name for it is "bacterial SSU rRNA". It matches the Rfam family "Bacterial small subunit ribosomal RNA", at positions 777 to 1310 of the family's 1533-position model. The record is from RNAcentral.
AAUAGAUACCCGGGUAGUCCACGCCCUAAACGAUGUCUACUAGUUGUCGGGUCUUCAUUGACUUGGUAACGCAGCUAACGCGUGAAGUAGACCGCCUGGGGAGUACGGUCGCAAGACUAAAACCCAAAGGAAUUGACGGGGACCCGCACAAGCAGCGGAGCGUGUGGUUUAAUUCGAUGCAACGCGAAGCACCUUACCAGGGCUUGACAUGCAGUCGCACCGUCCAGAGAUGGGCGUGCCCGCAAGGGACGGCUGCACAGGUGCUGCAUGGCUGUCGUCAGCUCGUGUCGUGAGAUGUUGGGUUAAGUCCCGCAACGAGCGCAACCCUUGUCAUUAGUUGCUACGAAAGGGCACUCUAAUGAGACUGCCGGUGACAAACCGGAGGAAGGUGGGGAUGACGUCAAGUCCUCAUGGCCCUUAUGGGUAGGGCUUCACACGUCAUACAAUGGUACAUACAGAGGGCUGCCAACCCGGCGAGGGGGAGCUAAAUCCCAGAAAGUGUAUCGUAGUCCGGAUUGGAAUCUGCAA